This 465-nucleotide ribosomal RNA is filed under the name Vreelandella stevensii. RNAcentral describes it as "partial 16S ribosomal RNA". It matches the Rfam family "Bacterial small subunit ribosomal RNA", at positions 338 to 795 of the family's 1533-position model. Lineage: Bacteria; Pseudomonadati; Pseudomonadota; Gammaproteobacteria; Oceanospirillales; Halomonadaceae. The record is from RNAcentral.
CCUACGGGGUGCUGUAGUGGGGAAUAUUGGACAAUGGGCGAAAGCCUGAUCCAGCCAUGCCGCGUGUGUGAAGAAGGCCUUCGGGUUGUAAAGCACUUUCAGUGGGGAAGAAAGCCUUGGGGCUAAUACCCUCGAGGAAGGACAUCACCCACAGAAGAAGCACCGGCUAACUCCGUGCCAGCAGCCGCGGUAAUACGGAGGGUGCGAGCGUUAAUCGGAAUUACUGGGCGUAAAGCGCGCGUAGGCGGUCUGAUAAGCCGGUUGUGAAAGCCCCGGGCUCAACCUGGGAACGGCAUCCGGAACUGUCAGGCUAGAGUGCAGGAGAGGAAGGUAGAAUUCCCGGUGUAGCGGUGAAAUGCGUAGAGAUCGGGAGGAAUACCAGUGGCGAAGGCGGCCUUCUGGACUGACACUGACGCUGAGGUGCGAAAGCGUGGGUAGCAAACAGGAUUAGAUACCCUGGUAGUC